AGAGUUUGAUCCUGGCUCAGGAUGAACGCUAGCGGCAGGCUUAACACAUGCAAGUCGAGGGGUAACAGGGAUUAGUUUACUAAUUUGCUGACGACCGGCGCACGGGUGAGUAACGCGUAUACAAUUUACCUCUUACAGGAGAAUAGCCCAGAGAAAUUUGGAUUAAUGCUCCAUGGUAUUAUAGGAUCACAUGGUUUUAUAAUUAAAGUUCCGACGGUAAGAGAUGAGUAUGCGUCCUAUUAGCUAGAUGGUAAGGUAACGGCUUACCAUGGCGACGAUAGGUAGGGGUCCUGAGAGGGAGAUCCCCCACACUGGUACUGAGACACGGACCAGACUCCUACGGGAGGCAGCAGUGAGGAAUAUUGGGCAAUGGAGGCAACUCUGACCCAGCCAUGCCGCGUGCAGGAAGACGGCCCUAUGGGUUGUAAACUGCUUUUAUAUAGGAAGAAACUUAUCCACGUGUGGAUAACUGACGGUACUAUAAGAAUAAGCACCGGCUAACUCCGUGCCAGCAGCCGCGGUAAUACGGAGGAUGCAAGCGUUAUCCGGAUUUAUUAGGUUUAAAGGGUGCGUAGGCGGAAAUGUAAGUCAGGGGUGAAAUCCCACAGCUUAACUGUGGAACUGCCUUUGAAACUACCUUUCUUGAGUUAAGUUGAGGCAGGCGGAAUGUGUAAUGUAGCGGUGAAAUGCAUAGAUAUUACACAGAACACCGAUUGCGAAGGCAGCUUGCUAAACUUUAACUGACGCUGAUUCACGAAAGCGUGGGGAGCGAACAGGAUUAGAUACCCUGGUAGUCCACGCCGUAAACGAUGCUUACUGGUUGUUGGCAAUACAUAGUCAGCGACUGAGGGAAACCAUUAAGUAAGCCACCUGGGGAGUACGUUCGCAAGAAUGAAACUCAAAGGAAUUGACGGGGGCCCGCACAAGCGGUGGAACAUGUGGUUUAAUUCGAUGAUACGCGAGGAACCUUACCUGGGCUUAAAUGCAGGAUGACCGUUCGGGAAACCGGACUUUUCUUCGGAACAUCCUACAAGGUGCUGCAUGGUUGUCGUCAGCUCGUGCCGUGAGGUGUCGGGUUAAGUCCCAUAACGAGCGCAACCCCUAUUCUUAGUUGCCAUCAGAUAAUGCUGGGGACUCUAAGGAAACUGCCUACGCAAGUAGCGAGGAAGGUGGGGAUGACGUCAAAUCAGCACGGCCCUUAUGUCCAGGGCUACACACGUGCUACAAUGGUCGGUACAGAGGGCUGCUACCUGGUGACAGGAUGCUAAUCUCAAAAACCGAUCUCAGUUCGGAUCGAAGUCUGCAACUCGACUUCGUGAAGCUGGAAUCGCUAGUAAUCGCGCAUCAGCCAUGGCGCGGUGAAUACGUUCCCGGGCCUUGUACACACCGCCCGUCAAGCCAUGGAAGUUUGGGGUACCUGAAGUCUGUAACCGCAAGGAGCGGCCUAGGGUAAAACUAGUAACUGGGGCUAAGUCGUAACAAGGUAGCC
This 1489-nucleotide ribosomal RNA is filed under the name uncultured prokaryote. Its description in RNAcentral is "partial 16S ribosomal RNA". It matches the Rfam family "Bacterial small subunit ribosomal RNA". The record is from RNAcentral.